This 360-nucleotide long non-coding RNA is filed under the name Danio rerio (zebrafish). Its description in RNAcentral is "lncRNA (ENSDARG00000117350.1)". The record is from RNAcentral. Lineage: Eukaryota; Metazoa; Chordata; Actinopteri; Cypriniformes; Danionidae.
GCAGAAGAUCUCGACCUUAAACUUAAGCUGCUCUGAAGCAUCAUGACGGGGUGAAAGCCAGUUUCAAUGUGUCUGGACGGAAAAAUGGAAGCCAAUAACAUGAAGCAGAUCCUCCAAACAGACAUAAGGGCAGUGGAGUGUUAAACGGACCCGGCCGCUUUCUGCCAAGCCAAACCAAAUUGUACUUUAACUCCGGGAAAGAUGAAAUGCUGCCUCUCAUGAGGGUUGCUGUCUAUCCGGCAUUUGUGAAAGGAGAAGUCGAAUUGCGCGCCGCUGACAAGCUCGGAAAAACGCAACGCUGUAAAUAUAGUGGCUUGACAUCAGAAAUGUGUCAACAUCCGGGACACGUCACUCAGAAAG